ACUUCAGACAGAAAUUCGUGCUGCAAACCGUUUGCGCGAUGCAAAGCCGCAAAAGAAAAAAAUGAAGAGAUGUGUAUGUGGAGAGGUGGAUCAACACCACACGAGGACAGCAGGGAUUUAAGAGUUGGAGAAUAGGACAGGCUUCGCAAAGCAUGACUUGGAGAGCGUUUGUCUUUGACCCUGCGAUUCUAUGCAACAGGUGACACGUUCAAGUCCCUCAGGUUCAAGUCCAGGAUGGGGGACCAGCACCAUCCCACAAAUAGUUUUGGAUAGCUGUUCUGUACCAGGUUAUAAAGGACGAUUUCUUGAAGACACCAUCAACGGAAGGAGAGUGGCAUAGCCGUGGACUUCGAAAGGAAGUGGCAGUUUCCACAUUGCUUUGGGGUACUUGCUACCACUCCAGCUGUAGCAGACUGCUGACCAAAACAUGGUUGAUGGGCAAUGGAAGAAUCGUGGGACGGGUGCUUUUCAACCGAUGAACACCACCUCACAUCGCAAUUGUAUGGCAACAGCAAAAGUGCAACGCAAUCUGAUGCGGGACUACUUUGUCUCACCAGCGUGUAGUGUUUAUUGGCAAGUUCAACACAUUUUAAAAGGAACUGAUGUAGAGUUAUCCCUGCAAACAGCAGAUUAAAGCCAGUUAUUGUCAGUUUAGGACAUUCGUUUUCUUGUGUGUUCUAAAGUCCUGUAUUUGUAAAGAACACAAUGUGGUUCACUUUUUCAUUGUUUUAAGUAUUCUGUUUAUUGUUGUGUUAUUAUUCAAUUAAUUUUAAUUGCAUACAAAUCAAAAGGUGCAGGAAUGUAACAAAUAAAGGCAAUCUGCAUGUUGCAA
Paramisgurnus dabryanus is the source of this 832-nucleotide long non-coding RNA. RefSeq lists it as uncharacterized. The record is from RefSeq and is a predicted model, not a curated record. NCBI's taxonomy places the organism in Eukaryota, Metazoa, Chordata, Actinopteri, Cypriniformes, Cobitidae.